UACGAAGGGGGCGAGCGUUGUUCGGAGUUACUGGGCGUAAAGGGCGCGUAGGCGGUUUUUCAAGUCAGGUGUGAAAGCCCUGGGCUCAACCCGGGAACAGCACUUGGGACUGGAAGGCUUGAGAUCGAGAGAGGAUGAUGGAAUUCCCAGUGUAGAGGUGAAAUUCGUAGAGAUUGGGAAGAACACCGGUGGCGAAGGCGGUCAUCUGGCUCGUAUCUGACGCUGAGGCGCGAAAGCGUGGGGAGCAAACAGG
This 253-nucleotide ribosomal RNA is filed under the name uncultured bacterium. RNAcentral's name for it is "partial 16S ribosomal RNA". It matches the Rfam family "Bacterial small subunit ribosomal RNA", at positions 524 to 776 of the family's 1533-position model. The record is from RNAcentral.